This 75-nucleotide small nucleolar RNA is filed under the name Pterocles gutturalis (yellow-throated sandgrouse). The record is from RNAcentral. Lineage: Eukaryota; Metazoa; Chordata; Aves; Pterocliformes; Pteroclidae.
UGCCGAUGAUGACGUCGCCAUGCUAAUACCGACCGGCCGGGGGCCGGCGUGAGUGCACCCCCAGACCUGAGGCAC